UAGGGAAUCUUCGGCCAUGGACGAAAGUCUGACCGAGCAACGCCGCGUGAGUGAAGAAGGUUCUCGGAUCGUAAAACUCUGUUGUUAGAGAAGAACAAGGACGUUAGUAACUGAACGUCCCCUGACGGUAUCUAACCAGAAAGCCACGGCUAACUACGUGCCAGCAGCCGCGGUAAUACGUAGGUGGCAAGCGUUGUCCGGAUUUAUUGGGCGUAAAGCGAGCGCAGGCGGUUUCUUAAGUCUGAUGUAAAAGCCCCCGGCUCAACCGGGGAGGGUCAUUGGAAACUGGGAGACAUGAGUGCAGAAGGGGAGGGUGGAAUUCCAUGUGUAGCGGUGAAAUGCGUAGAUAUAUGGAGGAAAACCAGUGGCGAAGGCGGCUCUCUGGUCUGUAACUGACGCUGAGGCUCGAAGGCGUGGGGAGCAAACAGG
Molecule: ribosomal RNA, 429 nt
Filed under: Gemmatimonadota bacterium
Lineage: Bacteria; Pseudomonadati; Gemmatimonadota
Description: Gemmatimonadetes bacterium partial 16S ribosomal RNA
Rfam family: Bacterial small subunit ribosomal RNA
Source: RNAcentral